GAGGUGGGAGAAUUGCUAGAGUCCAGGAGCUCCAGGCUGCAGUAAGUUGUGAUCUUGCCACUGCACUCCAGCCUGAGUGACAGAGCAAGAACCUGUCU
RNAcentral lists this microRNA precursor (98 nucleotides) under Cebus imitator (Panamanian white-faced capuchin). Its description in RNAcentral is "miRNA (ENSCCAG00000032164.1)". The record is from RNAcentral. Lineage: Eukaryota; Metazoa; Chordata; Mammalia; Primates; Cebidae.